GUGGCCGUAGCUCAGCUGGUAGAGCACAGGAUUGUGGCUCCUGAGGUCGUGGGUUCGAGACCCAUCGGCCACCCCA
This 76-nucleotide transfer RNA is filed under the name Pseudomonadota bacterium. RNAcentral describes it as "tRNA-His". It matches the Rfam family "tRNA". Rfam says of the family: Transfer RNA (tRNA) molecules are approximately 80 nucleotides in length. Their secondary structure includes four short double-helical elements and three loops (D, anti-codon, and T loops). RNAcentral also lists the same sequence under 1 other name. The record is from RNAcentral. Lineage: Bacteria; Pseudomonadati; Pseudomonadota.